RNAcentral lists this transfer RNA (82 nucleotides) under Rivularia sp. (in: cyanobacteria). RNAcentral describes it as "Rivularia sp. (in: Bacteria) tRNA-Tyr". It matches the Rfam family "tRNA". From Rfam's summary of the family: Transfer RNA (tRNA) molecules are approximately 80 nucleotides in length. Their secondary structure includes four short double-helical elements and three loops (D, anti-codon, and T loops). Further hydrogen bonds mediate the characteristic L-shaped molecular structure. tRNAs have two regions of fundamental functional importance: the anti-codon, which is responsible for specific mRNA codon recognition, and the 3' end, to which the tRNAs corresponding amino acid is attached (by aminoacyl-tRNA synthetases). tRNAs cope with the degeneracy of the genetic code in two manners: having more than one tRNA (with a specific anti-codon) for a particular amino acid; and 'wobble' base-pairing, i.e. permitting non-standard base-pairing at the 3rd anti-codon position. Lineage: Bacteria; Bacillati; Cyanobacteriota; Cyanophyceae; Nostocales; Rivulariaceae. The record is from RNAcentral.
GGGUCGGCUCGCCUAUUGGUGUAGGUAACGGUCUGUAAAACCGCCGCGUUCCGCGUUGCGAGUUCAAUUCUCGCCCGACCCU